AGAAAAGGAAAAUUAAAUAAAAGAUGAAUAUGAAAACUCUGCUUUCCAAAACUUCCCAGUGACCCCAAAUGUAAGAUACAUGAGCAGCUAAGGUUUACUGUGGAAACCUCAAAUUCUCUUUAGAUGACUGAUUGAUGUAGUGCAAUGCUGCUGUUUACUAGUCAUCCAUCAAUAAUCAUCAAUGCAAAUACUGUCCUCAGAAGCCUGCAAGGAUCCCACUUACGAGAACCACCUGCAGGAAGAACUCUUGCUUACACAAACCCAAGGUAGAAAGGAAAUGUAUGCUGGUAUAAUAAGGUUCUAGCUCUGUUGAUUGUUGAGAGAAGAGCACCAUUGCUACAGUCCCUCCCCCUAGAGAGUUUGGUCUGUUUUUAAUUUCUUUUCCCACUGAGGUAAGGAGCCUCCUUUCUCCAAAUCUUUCACCUUUGAGGCUGCUGCUGAGAAGGAUAUUCCCCGUUGUAAACUUUGGCUCCCAUCAGUAAAAAGUCCCAUAUCUGAA
This 499-nucleotide long non-coding RNA is filed under the name Mus musculus (house mouse). RNAcentral's name for it is "predicted gene, 35558". The record is from RNAcentral. Lineage: Eukaryota; Metazoa; Chordata; Mammalia; Rodentia; Muridae.